ACGCUAGCGAUAGGCUUAACACAUGCAAGUCGAGGGGCAGCAUGGUCUUAGCUUGCUAAGACUGAUGGCGACCGGCGCACGGGUGCGUAACGCGUAUGCAACUUGCCUCACAGAGGGGGAUAACCCGUCGAAAGACGGACUAAUACCGCGUACACUCCACUUUGGGCAUCCAAAGUAGAGGAAAUGAAAUUCGCUGUGAGAUAGGCAUGCGUCCCAUUAGCUAGUUGGUGAGGUAACGGCUCACCAAGGCGACGAUGGGUAGGGGAACUGAGAGGUUGAACCCCCACACUGGUACUGAGACACGGACCAGACUCCUACGGGAGGCAGCAGUGAGGAAUAUUGGUCAAUGGGCGAGAGCCUGAACCAGCCAAGUCGCGUGAAGGAUGACUGUCUUAUGGAUUGUAAACUUCUUUUAUACGGGAAUAACAAGAGUCACGUGUGGCUCCCUGCAUGUACCGUAUGAAUAAGCAUCGGCUAACUCCGUGCCAGCAGCCGCGGUAAUACGGAGGAUGCGAGCGUUAUCCGGAUUUAUUGGGUUUAAAGGGUGCGUAGGCGGCCUGUUAAGUCAGCGGUGAAAUCUAGGAGCUUAACUCCUAAAUUGCCAUUGAUACUGGCGGGCUUGAGUGUAGAUGAGGUAGGCGGAAUGCGUGGUGUAGCGGUGGAAUGCAUAGAUAUCACGCAGAACUCCGAUUGCGAAGGCAGCUUACUAAGGUACAACUGACGCUGAAGCACGAAAGCGUGGGUAUCAAACAGGAUUAGAUACCCUGGUAGUCCACGCAGUAAACGAUGAUAACUGGGCGUAUGCGAUAUACAGUAUGCUCCUAAGCGAAAGCGUUAAGUUAUCCACCUGGGGAGUACGCCGGCAACGGUGAAACUCAAAGGAAUUGACGGGGGCCCGCACAAGCGGAGGAACAUGUGGUUUAAUU
This 926-nucleotide ribosomal RNA is filed under the name uncultured bacterium. RNAcentral describes it as "bacterial SSU rRNA". It matches the Rfam family "Bacterial small subunit ribosomal RNA", at positions 33 to 951 of the family's 1533-position model. The record is from RNAcentral.